UUUUUGUGUUGAAAACAUCGUCAAACUAGCAUCUGUACCUACAGAUUAUUAUGCUACGCUGUGUUUACACUGGGUCAAAUGGGCACAGUACGGAUCAGCUAGUGUGAGAACAUCCUGAGGUCUCCUUAAAAUGACACAGCCCUACUGAAAUGUGAACGAGAAGCACGUCAGCAACAGGUGUGCCCCCUGAUUGGGUAAUCAUUUCUACAUAAGUAUCCAAGCUUUUGCCUUUAAGAUGUGAACAAAUUUCACACUGCUGUGGAAUCCAUGUUGGACAUAAGUUAGUCAGUUAGGAGGUUAGUCAGUUAUGGUCAUCAGCCAUGGAUUAGAGGCAGAACAGGCCUCAGGAUGGCUGCCAGUUUGCAAUAUGAAAGCAUAUCAUAUUAGGCCCCCAACCCAGAACAAUCAAAAUAUGCUCCAGGUUUUUUUAGAGCCACAAUCGUACAAAUUUCUCCUCCUUUUUGGUGCUGCUGUCCCAGGCAUUUGUAGAAGCUUUGAAACUCUGAAUGGAGGAGAUGAUACCUGUGAUGCAAAAUCCCCCAGUUCAAAUCCCUGGGUCAGCAGACUGAUUUUGCCAUUGGGCCCCUGAGCGAGGCCCUUAACCCACAAUUACUCUAGCUGCCAUUCCCUUCUCUGAUUCCCACAUAUUAGCCCACAUAUUUUCUCACUUUGACAAACCCCCUUUCCUCAGUUGUCACAUUCCUCCUCUUCCCCUUUUCACAUUGGGACAAAUGAGUGACAUUCACAAGCUUGUCCAUCCCAAUAGGGGAUGUUGCCCAUCCGCAAAUGAAUCAAAAAACUCAAAUAUAACCAUCAAUAAAGUCAGAGGGCUGGUCUUGGGCACCAAAUGAAUCAGCAUGCUAAAAUGUACUCCUAAAUAAAUUCAGACCUGAAUCAGAGAGCUAAACCCCUUCACCUCUGCAAAAAAAUGCCUUAAAAGACUGACUCAUAUAAUCUUUGAAAUUUCACGGAACACAAACACAAGUACACAAUGCAAGCAUGGCUGCUAAUUAACUACUCUGAGUGUUGCUUGAUAUUGUAAUGAGUGGGUAAAAGGGCAGAGACGGUGGAGGAAAAUGUCAUCUCCUAGGCAAAGUCAUUAGGAGCAUUCGGAGCUGCGGUUAGCAUUCCACUAGAAGAUGUGUAAUUGAACCAGUCAUGUGAGCAAUGUCUCUGACUCAUGUUUACUUGUUUGCAAACUGGCCACUGAAACACACCCAUGGGUUUGGAAGCAUGAGUACUGAAGAAGAGAAGUUAUGCAGAUCUGGUUAAUAUCAGACGAGAGCCACAUCAGAAGGCUGCAUGAGGCCCAUCCGAACCUCACCGUAGCAACGUCACAAACGGAAGGAAGAGGCCCCUGUUCGUGUUUCUAGUUCCCGAGCGAUGUCACUAACAGGCUAACAGAGUCCUCUGUGCAGAAUCCCCCCAGAUCUGCUGGAGUUCGAGGUGAUGAUGGUCAGAAGCUGACUGGAACUGUGAAAUUGCCAACAACACAGGCUCCACAAAUCACACCGCCGGGUUCCUACCAUAGCAGCGGAAACUGACAAAUUCUAACAGAUAAGACUUGAGAUAUGAGAGAACAAAUGGUUACUGCACAAUACCAAACAUCUGCAGACGGUCUCACAGGCAUGAGAGCUCUUACAUAAGCGAUAGUGAAAGACAGACAAAUGUGACCUAUGAUUUAAUGCCUGAUUAUUAAUCAGGCAAAACUCUUGUGUAUAGUAGGUGAGUCUGAAACACUUAUAUUUCCCUUUCCUAUUGUAACAAAAACUGUCAAUUGAAAUAAAAAAAAAUGCAUAAAAUCGGACAUUUAGGCAUUUGGGGGAGCGGGUGUUUUAAUAAAUGGCAUUGUCAGGAUAGCUGACUGGCCUCGUCAGUCUUUUUCUGUUAAAACGGGAUUCGUGGUCAGCAUUAUCAAAGCUGUUCAGGUAUGUUUUACUAUGAAAUUUAUACUGGACAUUCCAAUCAACGAUGUGUAUCUUUGUUACUGAAGAAUGCAGAAAUAAAUAGGAAUAAGAGUGUGAUCCUGUUACCUGCAGACAAAGUGUUUCUCUAAGAGAGGGGGGUAUGGAAUUUCCCCUUUAGGGGAUUAUAAAGGUUCUAUGCUAUGCUAUGCUAUGCUAUGCUAUGCUAUGCUGUCCUGUCCUGUCCUGUCCUGUCCUCCCUACAUGUGUAAAAGCUGGUAAUGCAGGAAUGUGGAGACUUGUACUGAGGCUUUCCUGCAAUAAAAAAAGCUAGCUGAUGUUUUUUUUAUUAUUAUUUUUAAUUAGGUGUUUUCGAGAAGGAAGAAAAUAUAUAUUAUUUUGUUAUUCUAUGACCAGAGCCUGUGGCUAAAUUAUGCUCUCUCCCUCCAGAGGCUAACAGACAACUUUAAAAUCAGGCAUUCUCAGUUGAAACAAAUUGGCGGAGUUUUAUUUAUUUGUGCGGUUUUAACCAUAUUAUACCAUGUUCUUGGGUAAAGGGCUAAUUUGCGAUUUAGUGGAGUCACAGAUGUUCUUAGACACUCUUGUAUCUCUGUUUCUUGGGCUCCCUUGGCAAACUGAUGUGUUUUUUAAGACACAUGGCAUUAAUAUAUUAUCGAAGAUGGCAAACUCCUCAACAAAGAACCUUCUCACCUCCAGUUCUUCUGUGUCUUAUUUCCAGUCAUUACGCAACACUGGCAUCACAAGCCCAGCUGUCAGGCACAAUGCCCGUCUGGUAUUUUUUAACAUUUAUUCUUAUGACUUCAGUGCCCAUUUCCAUGUACAUUGUUGAUAUCUCCCUGAAAGACUGUAAUCUUUUUGCCAACCUUGGCCUAAUUACAGUCACUCGUCUGAACUGUGCUUUUUCGAAUCACACCUGCAGCCGAUAUUCGGAAAGACGGCCUGCUGGAAAGCAUGCCAACGAAACUACACUCACUGCUCAAUAUGCUUAAAAUGAAAACAGCUGAAUUAUAUAAUCAAAUGAUACUUCAGAUGCUAGCGGUUAAAAAAAAUUAAGCAAGAGCUCAUCUGGAGGUCUACCGAAGCUUCUCACAGCCUCGGCCCAGGUCCUACAGCCCCAGCUGUAGGCCAUCAAAGCCCAGUGGCUAAACAGGGAGCACCAAUCGUUGGACAUACAGUGCAGCCAUCUGGGUUGUGCACCCACAGAGAGGACAGAGACUGAAUGAUCAGUUCCCAGCCAAAAGCACAAUUAAAAAUGCUAAAUAUUACAUUGUAUUUCUUUAGAGAUAAUCAUCAAAGAAUAAUGUUAUUCUUGCAAAUAGCUUAGUAUUACCCAGACACAAACAACUAAAUGAGUUCUCUCAUUGUGUUUGUAUAAUAUGUGACCAUCUUCGACUUGCAAUUAGUGUACAUGCCAUUGCAAAUGAAUUUGUUUGUUUGUCUGCUAGAUGCAGGUCACCUAGAGAGCUGAAAACUUCACCCCUGCUGUAGGGACUAGUCUGCACCGGGCGGCUUCAUCUCACCCUGAAUUAAUUAUGAACCUGACAGUCCAUAAUGAUUUAUGAUGCUAAGAAUAAAUGUACACGUUUAAUCGAAAUGAAAGAAAAACAGUAAUGCUGAAGGACAAGGAAUGAUUAAGAGAGAAAAAUUAGGAUUUUUACACAGAAGAAGUCCUCCGGAGCAGUGGUUCUUAACUGGGGGGAGGGGGGCACAUCUCACUAGGGGCUUCAGUAAGGACCAAGAGAGGCCACGCGAGAUUCACGUGAAAAGUGCAGAGAAACGACGACAUUGCUAAAGCUAGGGGUGGCCAGUAGCCUAAAUUGAAUUUUUACUGCAUAUCGAUAUUUUUUCAAAAUGAGAUAUAGGAUCACACAUACCGUUUAUGUUGAGAUACUUUAACUGUGUGAAAUUAAGGCCUUAUUAAUGAUUUUUAGUAGAAACCAAUAGCAUUCCUUCCUGGUUGUAAAGAGCAUGAUGUUGCACGGAAUCCCAGAAUUCACAGCUAGAUUCAGCUGGCGGCUUCCCAUGAGGAAGCUGACGGAGGGGAAAGGCGAGGAAUCAUUGUCACUCGGUUCAUUUUGUUUAAAAAUGCCAAAAAUAUUGUCAUUUGCAAUAUUUGAUUUAUUUAGUUGAAGGCUAAUACCUUAAAAUGAGGGUGUUUUUAGUUUUCAAACAUGUUUAAUGGUUGUCAAGUUUCAGAUUUUGCAGCUAUUUUCCAAAAGGGUUAUGGAUUUAGUUUUUUUAUUCAUAACACUCACCUUCCUUUUUGAGAGCAAUGCCACAAACCGAGGAGGGAGAAAAAAGCCUCAGUGGAUAUAAUGGUGUGAAACCUUGUUUGUCAUGUUCAGAAGAACAAAGAAUUAUACUGUUUGGCAGUGUAACCAAAUUAAAUUAUCCAUCCAUCCAUCUUCUGUAACCGCUUAUCCUAUUUAGGGUCGGAGGGGGUCCAGAGCCUAUGGGCGCGAAGCAGGGAACAAUACAGGAUGGGGCACCAAUCCAUCGCAGCCAAAUUAAAUUGGCAAUUUUUGUCAACAUUGCAGAACGCAUACAAGAGAAACAAUAUGUGUAGGGGGGACCCCAAUGUUUUUCUGGACACAGGGGGUCAUCGGAUAAAAAAGGGUGGGGAACCAUUACUCGUUAAGUUAAGCAAUGAGACUGAAUACGCAACAUAACUUAAUGCCACACUGAGAUGAGGCCUGCCUAGGGAGAACAUCGCCACCCUUUUCUGACAGUAAGCCCUGGUUACUAUUAUGAAAAGGUAUCAUAGUAUCAUUCUUCCAUUGGAAGUGGAAAACAUAACAAUCACACAUAACCUUAAUGAAUGAAUGGUGUAAUGAAAAGUUGAUCCAUACAGAGCACCUUUAGGGCAAGGUUGCUCAAUUAUUUUCCCCUGAGAUCCAAAUUUCAUCAGAGGCACAAAUUUCCCGACCCAGUGGCGAGGCAGAGUGUUAAUUGCACGGUUGGGAUGACUUUGUGUUUCGGUCCUGAUAUGAACAGGGAGUCUGCAGUGUAAGAACUCCUGCUGUUGGACCUUGUUUACCAUACGCAUUUCCAGGUAAAACUCAGCCAGCGACAAGGGCCGUGAAGACGCAGAUCACAAAAGAGCGAAGCAGACGGAGAGAAAGAGGAACCGUCGUCACACAAGGUCAGCAGAUGAACAGGCAGUAAUUAAAAGACACGAAGACAGCUGAUGCACGGAGACUCAGACAGAAACAAGGAUAAUACGACUGGCAACUGAGGAAAGCAGCCAGAAGAUUACGCAGGAAGCUGCCCUCGCACUCCUCUUUCUAUAGCCAAGUGGAGAUGCACACAGGCCUAAGGUGAAGAGGCCUGCCAGAGAGUGAAUACAGCAGCGUGAGCUAAGUGGGCACCAUUCUCUAACAGCUAUGAAGUUACAUACCUAUUUUGAAGGGAGUUUCCAGAUAGUCUCAGGGAAGUUUCCAGAUAACCUCAGGGAAGUUUCCAUAACUUUGAAACCAGAUGAUUUUGUGCUCUGCUCAGCUGGCU
Brienomyrus brachyistius is the source of this 5429-nucleotide long non-coding RNA. RefSeq lists it as uncharacterized. The record is from RefSeq and is a predicted model, not a curated record. The transcript has 4 exons. Lineage: Eukaryota; Metazoa; Chordata; Actinopteri; Osteoglossiformes; Mormyridae.